UGGGGAAUCUUGCACAAUGGGGGCAACCCUGAUGCAGCGACGCCGCGUGAGCGAUGAAGCCCUUCGGGGCGUAAAGCUCUUUCGACCGGAACGAUAAUGACGGUACCGGGAGAAGAAGCUGCGGCUAACUACGUGCCAGCAGCCGCGGUAAUACGUAGGCAGCAAGCGUUGUUCGGAGUUACUGGGCGUAAAGAGUGCGUAGGCGGUUUUCUAAGUUCGGUGUGAAAUCUCCCGGCUUAACUGGGAGGGUGCGCCGAAGACUGGGGAGCUGGAGUGUGGGAAAGGCAGGCGGAAUUCCUGGUGUAGCGGUGAAAUGCGUAGAUAUCAGGAGGAACACCGGCGGUGUAGACGGCUUGCUAGACCAUAACUGACGCUGAGGCACGAAAGCGUGGGUAGCAAACA
Molecule: ribosomal RNA, 402 nt
Filed under: uncultured bacterium
Lineage: Bacteria
Description: bacterial SSU rRNA
Rfam family: Bacterial small subunit ribosomal RNA
Source: RNAcentral